CCUACGGGAGACAGCAGUGGGGAAUAUUGGGCAAUGGGCGCAAGCCUGACCCAGCAAAGCCGCGUGAAGGAAGAAGGCUGUAGGGUUGUAAACUUCUUUUAAGAGGGAAGAGCAGAAGAGGGUACAUCUUGAAUAAGCCACGGCUAACUACGUGCCAGCAGCCGCGGUAAUACGUAGGUGGCAAGCGUUGUCCGGAUUUACUGGGUGUAAAGGGCGUGCAGCCGGGAAGACAAGUCAGAUGUGAAAUCCCGCGGCUCAACCGCGGAACUGCCUUUGAAACUGUUUUUCUUGAGUACCGGAGAGGUCAUCUGCAUUCCUUGUGUAGCGGUGAAAUGCGUAGAUAUCAGGAA
Molecule: ribosomal RNA, 350 nt
Filed under: uncultured bacterium
Lineage: Bacteria
Description: partial 16S ribosomal RNA
Rfam family: Bacterial small subunit ribosomal RNA
Source: RNAcentral